UUGGAACCAAAAAUUCAGUGGGAAAAAAAUUAUGUUGUGCCACCCAUAUCAUAGGAUUUGCCUGAUAUUUACUUGGACAGCCUCUUAACUACUCUCAAUCUCAGUGAUUGAAGUUUGUCUUCCUGUGCUUACUCCAGGAGGCUGAAGUCUAUUAGAUAAUAUAACAAAGUACUGUUAUUUUUAAAGUAUAAUUUAUUAGAAGAUG
RNAcentral lists this long non-coding RNA (205 nucleotides) under Mytilus galloprovincialis (Mediterranean mussel). Lineage: Eukaryota; Metazoa; Mollusca; Bivalvia; Mytilida; Mytilidae. The record is from RNAcentral.